This 330-nucleotide ribosomal RNA is filed under the name uncultured bacterium. RNAcentral's name for it is "bacterial SSU rRNA". It matches the Rfam family "Bacterial small subunit ribosomal RNA", at positions 568 to 898 of the family's 1533-position model. The record is from RNAcentral.
UGCGUAGGCGGUCCCGCAAGUCCGCUGUGAAAUCCCCGGGCUUAACCUGGGAAUGGCAGUGGAAACUAGGGGACUUGAAUCCGGCAGAGGGGGGUGGAAUGCCACGUGUAGCAGUGAAAUGCGUAGAGAUGUGGCGGAACACCGAUGGCGAAGGCAGCCCCCUGGGUUGAGAUUGACGCUCAGGCACGAAAGCGUGGGGAGCAAACAGGAUUAGAUACCCUGGUAGUCCACGCCCUAAACGAUGAUCACUAGGUGUUGGGGAAGCGGUUUCUCAGUACCGCAGCUAACGCGUGAAGUGAUCCGCCUGGGGAGUACGGUCGCAAGAUUAAA